CGCUGGCGGCAGGCCUAACACAUGCAAGUCGAGCGGUAGAGAGGAGCUUGCUCCUCUUGAGAGCGGCGGACGGGUGAGUAAUGCCUAGGAAUCUGCCUGGUAGUGGGGGAUAACGUUCGGAAACGGACGCUAAUACCGCAUACGUCCUACGGGAGAAAGCAGGGGACCUUCGGGCCUUGCGCUAUCAGAUGAGCCUAGGUCGGAUUAGCUAGUUGGUGAGGUAAUGGCUCACCAAGGCGACGAUCCGUAACUGGUCUGAGAGGAUGAUCAGUCACACUGGAACUGAGACACGGUCCAGACUCCUACGGGAGGCAGCAGUGGGGAAUAUUGGACAAUGGGCGAAAGCCUGAUCCAGCCAUGCCGCGUGUGUGAAGAAGGUCUUCGGAUUGUAAAGCACUUUAAGUUGGGAGGAAGGGCAGUAAAUUAAUACUUUGCUGUUUUGACGUUACCGACAGAAUAAGCACCGGCUAACUCUGUGCCAGCAGCCGCGGUAAUACAGAGGGUGCAAGCGUUAAUCGGAAUUACUGGGCGUAAAGCGCGCGUAGGUGGUUUGUUAAGUUGGAUGUGAAAUCCCCGGGCUCAACCUGGGAACUGCAUUCAAAACUGACUGACUAGAGUAUGGUAGAGGGUGGUGGAAUUUCCUGUGUAGCGGUGAAAUGCGUAGAUAUAGGAAGGAACACCAGUGGCGAAGGCGACCACCUGGACUAAUACUGACACUGAGGUGCGAAAGCGUGGGGAGCGAACAGGAUUAGAUACCCUGGUAGUCCACGCCGUAAACGAUGUCAACUAGCCGUUGGAAGCCUUGAGCUUUUAGUGGCGCAGCUAACGCAUUAAGUUGACCGCCUGGGGAGUACGGCCGCAAGGUUAAAACUCAAAUGAAUUGACGGGGGCCCGCACAAGCGGUGGAGCAUGUGGUUUAAUUCGAAGCAACGCGAAGAACCUUACCAGGCCUUGACAUCCAAUGAACUUUCUAGAGAUAGAUUGGUGCCUUCGGGAGCAUUGAGACAGGUGCUGCAUGGCUGUCGUCAGCUCGUGUCGUGAGAUGUUGGGUUAAGUCCCGUAACGAGCGCAACCCUUGUCCUUAGUUACCAGCACGUGAUGGUGGGCACUCUAAGGAGACUGCCGGUGACAAACCGGAGGAAGGUGGGGAUGACGUCAAGUCAUCAUGGCCCUUACGGCCUGGGCUACACACGUGCUACAAUGGUCGGUACAGAGGGUUGCCAAGCCGCGAGGUGGAGCUAAUCCCACAAAACCGAUCGUAGUCCGGAUCGCAGUCUGCAACUCGACUGCGUGAAGUCGGAAUCGCUAGUAAUCGCGAAUCAGAAUGUCGCGGUGAAUACGUUCCCGGGCCU
RNAcentral lists this ribosomal RNA (1352 nucleotides) under uncultured bacterium. Its description in RNAcentral is "16S ribosomal RNA". It matches the Rfam family "Bacterial small subunit ribosomal RNA", at positions 34 to 1381 of the family's 1533-position model. The record is from RNAcentral.